Molecule: ribosomal RNA, 474 nt
Filed under: uncultured bacterium
Lineage: Bacteria
Description: bacterial SSU rRNA
Rfam family: Bacterial small subunit ribosomal RNA
Source: RNAcentral
CAGGCUUAACACAUGCAAGUCGAGGGGCAGCAUGAAGGUUAGCAAUAACCUUUGAUGGCGACCGGCGCAAGGGUGCGUAACGCGUGAGCAACUUGCCCGUUUCAGGGGGAUAACCGGUGGAAACGCCGACUAAUACCCCAUGGCAUCAUUGGGAGGCAUCUCCUUAUGAUUAAAGAAUUUCGGAAACGGAUAGGCUCGCGUGACAUUAGGUAGAUGGCGGGGUAACGGCCCACCAUGCCUACGAUGUCUAGGGGUUCUGAGAGGAAGGUCCCCCACACUGGAACUGAGACACGGUCCAGACUCCUACGGGAGGCAGCAGUGAGGAAUAUUGGUCAAUGGAGGCAACUCUGAACCAGCCAAGUAGCGUGAGGGAUGACUGCCCUACGGGUUGUAAACCUCUUUUGUCGGGGAAUAAACCGCGCCACGUGUGGCGCCCUGCAUGUACCCGCAGAAUAAGGACCGGCUAAUUCCGUG